Molecule: unclassified non-coding RNA, 355 nt
Filed under: uncultured fungus
Lineage: Eukaryota; Fungi
Description: sequence contains ITS1
Rfam family: 5.8S ribosomal RNA (bases 1-105)
Source: RNAcentral
GAAGUGCGAUAAGCAAUGCGAAUUGCAGAAUUCCGCGAAUCAUCAGAUCUUUGAACGCAAAUGGCGCCAGAGGGAUAUCCUUUUGGCAUGUCUGUUUCAGUGUCUGAGAGGUUUCACACUUACCUUAAUGUGAUUGAUGCCUUACUUCGUUUACUCGAUGAAAGACAUCUCUCAUGAAAGUUGCGCGAGUGGAUCUUUCGGUCCAAUGAAGUGGUCACAUCACUCUCAGUAUGUGAUUUCAUUGGAAGCACCGAAUUAUCCGCAUGCUCGCGGUUCCACGUUGCUGUCUAAACAAUAGCAACUACUCUCUCCAUACCCUGCAUCUGAAAUAGGCAAGAUCACCCGCUGAACUUAA